RNAcentral lists this ribosomal RNA (226 nucleotides) under uncultured bacterium. RNAcentral describes it as "partial 16S ribosomal RNA". It matches the Rfam family "Bacterial small subunit ribosomal RNA", at positions 328 to 538 of the family's 1533-position model. The record is from RNAcentral.
ACGCUCGACACCUACGGGGGGCAGCAGUAGGGAAUCUUCCACAAUGGACGCAAGUCUGAUGGAGCAACGCCGCGUGAGUGAAGAAGGUCUUCGGAUCGUAAAACUCUGUUGUUAGAGAAGAACACGAGUGAGAGUAACUGUUCAUUCGAUGACGGUAUCUAACCAGCAAGUCACAGCUAACUACGUGCCAGCACGCCGACGUAUCNGAGGCGGCGUGGACGAAGGC